GAUACCCUAUUAUACUAAAGAGAUGAAUAAAUAGGCCAGAUUAUUAGUAGAUAUGUUCUUUAAAUUUGAAGAAUUUGGCGGUGGUUUAGUCUUGUCAGAGGAACCUGUUUUUGAAUCGAUAUACCACGUAGAAUCUUACUUACUUUUGUUAUAUUAGAACAGCUUAUAUACCAUCAUUAUCAGAUAAUUUUAAAAGAAAUAAUUAUUGGAAGUUAUUAUUUUAAGUGAAAUUAGAUCAAGGUGUAGCUUAUAAGUGAGUUAAAAUGGGUUACAAUAAAAUUUAUUUAUAACGUAAUAAUUAAAGAAUAGUUAAUUAUAAAGGAGGAUUUGAUUGUAAUAUGAGUUUAAUAUGCUUGUAAGAUAUAGGCUCUAAAUCAUGUACAU
This 384-nucleotide ribosomal RNA is filed under the name Ozius guttatus. RNAcentral's name for it is "partial 12S ribosomal RNA". The record is from RNAcentral. Lineage: Eukaryota; Metazoa; Arthropoda; Malacostraca; Decapoda; Oziidae.